GCUGGUGUAGCUCAAUAGGUAGAGCAACUGACUUGUAAUCAGUAGGUUGUGGGUUCAAUUCCUAUCACCAGCUCCA
RNAcentral lists this transfer RNA (76 nucleotides) under Kamagatella elastica. RNAcentral's name for it is "Gottschalkiaceae bacterium SANA tRNA-Thr". It matches the Rfam family "tRNA". From Rfam's summary of the family: Transfer RNA (tRNA) molecules are approximately 80 nucleotides in length. Their secondary structure includes four short double-helical elements and three loops (D, anti-codon, and T loops). Further hydrogen bonds mediate the characteristic L-shaped molecular structure. tRNAs have two regions of fundamental functional importance: the anti-codon, which is responsible for specific mRNA codon recognition, and the 3' end, to which the tRNAs corresponding amino acid is attached (by aminoacyl-tRNA synthetases). tRNAs cope with the degeneracy of the genetic code in two manners: having more than one tRNA (with a specific anti-codon) for a particular amino acid; and 'wobble' base-pairing, i.e. permitting non-standard base-pairing at the 3rd anti-codon position. Lineage: Bacteria; Bacillati; Bacillota; Tissierellia; Tissierellales; Kamagatellaceae. The record is from RNAcentral.